AUCCCAGCUGGUCCCGGGGUCUGCCAGACUCCCCCUGCGGCCUCUCUUCCUGCCAGGACUCCAGGCCGGACACCAGGGCCUCCCCUGCCUAGGCUCAGGUGUGAGGGUGGACCCUUCCUGCCCCUCUGCGGUCCCUCCGGAUGCUCAUUGAGGUGUGCCCAGCUCUUUCGCACAUUAGCUGCUUCCUGCUGUUCCUUCUGCCCGAAUGCUUUUCCUUCACAAUGCAUGGAGAGAACCCACUCAUCGUGCCGGUUUCCACUUGAAUGAGAUGCAAAACAAGUCUAUGGAGGAGAGAGAGCCUUUUCAACAAAUGGUACUAGAACAAUUGGACAUUUGUAGGGGGAAAAGGUGGACCUCAACCUAAGUCUCAGACCUUGUACAAAAAUCCGCUCAAAGUAGGUGAUGUACUUACAUAUUAAACAUAAAACUUUUAAACUUUCAUUUAAAAGUAGUAGAAAAUCUUUGGGAUCUUGGAUUUAGACUUGACACCAAAAGCA
Molecule: non-coding RNA, 497 nt
Organism: Microcebus murinus (gray mouse lemur)
Lineage: Eukaryota; Metazoa; Chordata; Mammalia; Primates; Cheirogaleidae
Source: RefSeq, a predicted model, not a curated record